UAAACUCGCACGCACUUUGGUGCUCGUGUGCGCGCUCGUGCGCAUGCAGUUAAACGGGAAACAGGGUGCCCACCUGCCAUGGACCGGGCUAACCUGUGCUGCCCCCGCAACGGUAAGCGAAAUGCGGUUCCAGAUUGAUUGUCUGGCGCCGCGGAGCCGGCUUCGAUGUCCACGCGCAAGGCCGCGUCGGCAUAUGACCACUGGACGAGAAACCACUCGUCCGGGAAGGGGAAGCGGCGCUUUCGCCAGCCCGGAUACCGGCCAGACGACGAAGAACGAC
This 280-nucleotide non-coding RNA is filed under the name Paraburkholderia fungorum. Lineage: Bacteria; Pseudomonadati; Pseudomonadota; Betaproteobacteria; Burkholderiales; Burkholderiaceae. The record is from RNAcentral.